RNAcentral lists this ribosomal RNA (644 nucleotides) under uncultured bacterium. Its description in RNAcentral is "bacterial SSU rRNA". It matches the Rfam family "Bacterial small subunit ribosomal RNA", at positions 70 to 692 of the family's 1533-position model. The record is from RNAcentral.
GGAGGACGNGACUUCGGUCUGAGUGGCGAAAUGGCGAACGGGAUGAUAUAAUAUAUCGGAACAUACCCAGGGAGUGGGNGAUAACUAGUCCGAAAUGAUCAAGCUNAGACCUGCNUACAGUAUCUGUGGAUGAANGCAUGAGUGAUCUUCGNACCUUGUGCUANUGGAGUGGNCNAUAUCUGAUGAGCUAGUUGGUAGGGUAAAAGCCUACCAAGUGCGNCGAUCAGUAAGCGGGAUCUGAAAGGACUACCACCCGCNCUGGAACUGAGACACGGUCCAAACUCAUACGGGAGGCAGCAGUGGGGAAUUUUGGACAAUGGGGGCAACCCUGAUCCAGCAAUGCCGCGUGAGUGAAGAAGGCCCUCGGGUUGUAAAGCUCUUUUGUCAGGGAAGAAACGGAGUUCUCUAAUAUAGGAUUCUAAUGACGGUACCUGAAGAAUAAGCACCGGCUAACUACGUGCCAGCAGCCGCGGUAAUACGUAGGGUGCAAGCGUUAAUCGGAAUUACUGGGCGUAAAGCGUGCGCAGGCGGUUUUGUAAGUCUGAUGUGAAAUCCCCGGGCUCAACCUGGGAACUGCAUUGGAGACUGCAAGGCUAGAGUGUGUCAGAGGGGGUAGAAUUCCACGUGUAGCAGUGAAAUGCGUA